Molecule: transfer RNA, 67 nt
Filed under: Cucujoidea sp. 45 KM-2017
Lineage: Eukaryota; Metazoa; Arthropoda; Insecta; Coleoptera
Description: tRNA-Ser
Source: RNAcentral
GAAGCAAGAAACCCAAAGGUAAGCUUCUAACUUAACCUUUAAGCAGUGGAAUUCUGUUUUUGCUUCU